RNAcentral lists this ribosomal RNA (522 nucleotides) under Bifidobacterium pseudocatenulatum. RNAcentral describes it as "bacterial SSU rRNA". It matches the Rfam family "Bacterial small subunit ribosomal RNA", at positions 168 to 702 of the family's 1533-position model. The record is from RNAcentral. Lineage: Bacteria; Bacillati; Actinomycetota; Actinomycetes; Bifidobacteriales; Bifidobacteriaceae.
GCCGGAUGCUCCGACUCCUCGCAUGGGGUGUCGGGAAAGAUUUCAUCGGUAUGGGAUGGGGUCGCGUCCUAUCAGGUAGUCGGCGGGGUAACGGCCCACCGAGCCUACGACGGGUAGCCGGCCUGAGAGGGCGACCGGCCACAUUGGGACUGAGAUACGGCCCAGACUCCUACGGGAGGCAGCAGUGGGGAAUAUUGCACAAUGGGCGCAAGCCUGAUGCAGCGACGCCGCGUGCGGGAUGACGGCCUUCGGGUUGUAAACCGCUUUUGAUCGGGAGCAAGCCUUCGGGUGAGUGUACCUUUCGAAUAAGCACCGGCUAACUACGUGCCAGCAGCCGCGGUAAUACGUAGGGUGCAAGCGUUAUCCGGAAUUAUUGGGCGUAAAGGGCUCGUAGGCGGUUCGUCGCGUCCGGUGUGAAAGUCCAUCGCUUAACGGUGGAUCUGCGCCGGGUACGGGCGGGCUGGAGUGCGGUAGGGGAGACUGGAAUUCCCGGUGUAACGGUGGAAUGUGUAGAUAUCGGGA